Molecule: ribosomal RNA, 483 nt
Filed under: uncultured bacterium
Lineage: Bacteria
Description: bacterial SSU rRNA
Rfam family: Bacterial small subunit ribosomal RNA
Source: RNAcentral
AGUUUGAUCCUGGCUCAGAAUCAACGCUGGCGGCGUGCCUCAGACAUGCAAGUCGAACGAUUAAAGCUCUCUUCGGAGAGUGUAUAGAGUGGCGCACGGGUGAGUAACACGUAAGUAAUCUACCCUCGAGUGGGGAAUAACAACCGGAAACGGUUGCUAAUACCGCAUAAUGCAGCGGCACCGCAAGGUGACAGUUGUUAAAGAUUUAUCGCUUGAGGAGGAGCUUGCGGCAGAUUAGCCAGUUGGUAGGGUAACGGCUUACCAAGGCUACGAUCUGUAACCGGUCUAAGAGGACGGUCGGUCACACUGACACUGAAUAACGGGUCAGACUCCUACGGGAGGCAGCAGUCGGGAAUUUUGGGCAAUGGGCGAAAGCCUGACCCAGCAACGCCGCGUGAAGGAUGAAGUAUUUCGGUAUGUAAACUUCGAAAGAAUAGGAAGAAUUAAUGACGGUACUAUUUAUAAGGUCCGGCUAACUACGUG